Molecule: ribosomal RNA, 255 nt
Filed under: Triticum aestivum (bread wheat)
Lineage: Eukaryota; Viridiplantae; Streptophyta; Magnoliopsida; Poales; Poaceae
Description: partial small subunit ribosomal RNA
Source: RNAcentral
AUGAGAGGACAAUUUCGUGGGUUGCAAAGGUUGGUACUAGAUGAAAAUCCUUAUGCAUUUUAUAUUCAUUGCUUUGCCCAUCAGUUGCAGUUAGUGGUUGUUGUUGUUGCCAAGUGUUGUUCCUCUGUAUUGGAUUUCUUUAACCACAUAACUUUGAUUGUCAACACCGUUAAUGCUUCUUGUAAGAAGCACGAUGAACUAGCUCAAGAACAACAUGAUAAUAUUGCGAGUCAAUUGGAGUCUGGGGAAAAAUAG